Molecule: ribosomal RNA, 218 nt
Filed under: uncultured bacterium
Lineage: Bacteria
Description: partial 16S ribosomal RNA
Rfam family: Bacterial small subunit ribosomal RNA
Source: RNAcentral
UCCACACAGUAAACGAUAAGCACUAGAUGUUGGGGGAUAAUAUCCUUCAGUGUCGCAGCUAACGCGUUAAGUGCUUCGCCUGGGGAGUACGAUCGCAAGAUUAAAACUCAAAGGAAUUGACGGGGGCCCGCACAAGCGGUGGAGCAUGUGGUUUAAUUCGAUGCAACGCGAAGAACCUUACCUGGACUUGACAUCCUGCGGCGACUGUAGAGAUACGG